Unclassified non-coding RNA from Vulpes vulpes (red fox), 123 nucleotides. The record is from Ensembl. Lineage: Eukaryota; Metazoa; Chordata; Mammalia; Carnivora; Canidae.
ACUAGAGCCAAAUCUAUCUCAAAAGUUUGGGAUAUUAAUUUUUCUUUGUUAAUAUUAAAUGAGAAAUUAACACUUAGAAUAAAACUUUUUCGGGACACCUGAGUGGCUCAGUGGUUGAACGUC